This 71-nucleotide transfer RNA is filed under the name Sus scrofa (pig). It matches the Rfam family "tRNA". From Rfam's summary of the family: Transfer RNA (tRNA) molecules are approximately 80 nucleotides in length. Lineage: Eukaryota; Metazoa; Chordata; Mammalia; Artiodactyla; Suidae. The record is from Rfam by way of RNAcentral.
UCCCUGAUGGCCUAGCAGUAAGAUUCAGCAUUGUCACUGCUGUGGCUUGGGUUCGAUCCCUGGCCUGGGAA